AGUCCGCCGCCUCCCUCCGAGCGCAGGACGCUCCGACGCCCGCUUGCCCGCAGGCCACCGCAGGCCUUACUGGCUUUGGGCAAGUGCUGAAGUUCACUCAUUUUCUAUUGGUUGUUUCUCCCCAUGAAAGACAUUGAACAUAAGUGGUGUGGAAUAAUGUUAAGCUUCUCUGAUGGGUCCUAAAUGGUUGAAGAACACCCCUCAAGAGAUGGGAAGAUUCUAAGAGCCAGAGAGAAUGGAUUACUCCAAGGCAACACAAUGGGACUGAUGACCACAUGAACUCUUAGAGACUGUAGCAGCUUGCACCAGGCCUGUACAGGUUCAAGCCAGAUGGGGUUCCAGCACUGAGAGGGGAAUUGGACAUGGACGUCUACUCCUUACUAAGAAGCUCUCUGCAACUGAUACCGACUUGCAAAGGAAAAUAGUUUUCUCCAAUGAAGUACCACUGAGUAUAUUAACCAUACUUCAAGAAGACCUAUGCAACCAUGAGUAACUCCACUUCUGGAUAAUCCAGUGCCUUCUUUCUGACCGCCACAGGCAUGAGGUAGUGUGCAUUUUCUCCUGAACUGCCACCUAAUGUGCACACAUGGCUCAGCCUUCUGCAAACUUUUGGCCAAGGGAGAAAGCUCAGAGCUUGGCUGAUAUGCUGGACUCCCCAAAGUCUCCAGGUCUCCAGGGACGGUGCCUGUAACUUACCUGAAGAGGAACUGGUAGACAAGUCAUCUGAAAACAACUGAGGAAUCCUGCCCUGACCUAUCAGCUGUCUGCUGCCUCCCAACUCUUGCAGCCUUGGGAGAGGCACAUUCACUUGGAAAUGUGAUGAACAGGUGUCCAUUUACUUUGGAUUCAGGCCAAAGAGUCAAGCCAAUGUCAUUUGUAAGGCACAAUCAUUUUAAGUUCAGACCCAUGAAGAUCUUUUCUUGUACUUUUGUCUGAAUUAGAGAAACAACUUAAGCUGUCGUGCUUGGGGACAUUACUUUGAGAAAGCUACUUUGGAGGCACAACUCCCUAGGGUAAAGAAGAAAUAGCUUCCCGUCUUCCUAUGCAGGAAACUGCUGAAAUAGCUGACUCUACCCUCAAAGUUUAGAGUUCAUGUUCUCUGUGCACUUGGGUCCAUAUGUUCAAAGUGGCUUGGGAAAUAAUUUAUCAGUAGUUAACAUCCCUUUCCUAUCAGCUGUUUCCAGGAAAAAAAGCUAAUGUUGAGCAAUGGAAGUUGUUUCAACCUA
RNAcentral lists this long non-coding RNA (1226 nucleotides) under Mus musculus (house mouse). RNAcentral describes it as "RIKEN cDNA 9030622O22 gene". The record is from RNAcentral. Lineage: Eukaryota; Metazoa; Chordata; Mammalia; Rodentia; Muridae.